UCCCGUAUUUUUAUACAUUGGGACAACCCGGAUUAACUAUGACAAUUAAGGGCCAAGACUCUUUCGGGAUUUGAAGUCGGAAAUUUUGACCAUUUGAUUUUAUUUUGAGGCAUAAGUUGAAUAUGAAAUUGUUGGCAUUGAACACUUAGGAAAAUUUGGGACCAAAAUUCAUAAUUUGGAAAUUAAAAGUCUUGCAAAAAAAAAAAGAUGUGUGGAUUGAAGUGGUCCCCACACAUUGUUGUGGCCAAUUUAAUUGGUCCAACACAUGUGUGGGCCCAAGGACACAUGGAGCAAUUUUUGUGGAACUUAAAAAGAUGACUUUCAAGUCAUCUUCUUGUCAUUCCAACACUUAAAAAAAAAAAAAGGAAGAGCAAAGUUGAAGCCAUGGAGGCUCAAGGCUAGAAACCAAGAAAACCAACCCUCAUUUUUAGCCUUCCCAAAAAUAAUUCUUUGGUUCAAACCCACUAAUUAGAGGUCCCUAAGUAACGUGGAAGUGUCGUUGGAGCGAUCAACCAUCAAAUUUGUGGAUUUCAAACCCUAGCCUAAUGGUGGAGUAAAGAAGAAAGACCUUGGGGAUCCCGAGGCGUAGAUUGGGAUUGACUUUAGGUUGGCUAUCUUGGAGUGCGUACGAGGUACAGACGCACAGUUUGGUGAUUCACCAGUUUAGGACAUCCCCUUCUGCUGGUUGGAGUGCUCUUCUCAUUUCAGAGCAUAUAUGUUGGUAUAUAUUUGUUCGCUGAGUAUGUACAUAUUUGUUCAGGGGUACGGCGGGGGCCCUGUCCCGCCAUAUGUUUUGAUCGGUCUGUUUAGAGGUCUGUAGACGUAUUUGUGGGUGUGUGUGCCUACUUCUGUACAGUUGUGUUUAUAUGGUUCUAUUCGUUAUGGCAGCCUUGUCGGCGUGCAUUUGUAUAUGUGUUUUGGGCCGUUGUGCCAUUUGAUAGCCUUGUCGGCUUUUGACAUAUUUGACAGCCUUGUCGGCUUUUUACAUAUUUGAUAGCCUUGCCGGCUUUUUGAUAUAUGUGCAUAUGUUCGGCGAUGUAUAUUCCGCCGCCUCUUCUGAUUCUGAUAUAAUGUUUUGUACGCGCAAUCGCGCAAGAUAA
Long non-coding RNA from Lycium barbarum (goji berry), 1100 nucleotides. RefSeq lists it as uncharacterized. NCBI's taxonomy places the organism in Eukaryota, Viridiplantae, Streptophyta, Magnoliopsida, Solanales, Solanaceae. The record is from RefSeq and is a predicted model, not a curated record. The transcript has 3 exons.